Molecule: long non-coding RNA, 3681 nt
Organism: Brassica napus (rape)
Lineage: Eukaryota; Viridiplantae; Streptophyta; Magnoliopsida; Brassicales; Brassicaceae
Exons: 2
Source: RefSeq, a predicted model, not a curated record
UUGUGUGUUUCACGUUAUCAAACUAAAAAAGUGAUAUUUUGAUAAAUCUAUUUUUUCCAAAUAUGCCAAAAUCACCACUGUGGCUCGCCGCUAAACUUUCUGUCGUCGCAUUAUCAGCUUCAACCCCACUGUAGCAGUUCUGCUCGUGUUGAAAACCGAAGCUCCAUUUUCUUCUGAGCAACGGUUGCGUCUUUUUCAUCCUUACUGUCGUGUCCCAUCGUUUCAAAAUUCUUUUUUUUUUUCAAAAUUCAUCUCAUGUUCGUGGGACCAUUUAGUUAGGAAAAAUGAACUUAGUUUUGGUUUCUAGUUACAAAAACUACCUCAGUAGUAAGAAGUGACUUAGAAUGUAAUAAAAAGAUGAAAAGUGUCUUAGAAUGAAAAUAACUCUUAGGACAAACAUUCUUUCUACGGUGAGUUGAAGAAAGAGGAAAUGUCAAUUGAGUUCAUGCAAAAUCUGAUGCCAAAAUUACAAGUAUUUAACUAUCCAUAACUGAACAAAGGUUUCAAAGGAUAGACCUGAAAGAACAUCUUAAUCGCAAAGAUUCCCAUUAGGUACACACAUAAGAAAAGCUGCAAACUUUCACCUUAAGAAUGCUUAAAUUAGUGUUCGUUUUUUGAUCAUUUGGGUUUGGUUUGGAUCGGAGCAGGUGAUUCUUUUCUUGUAGCUGGUACAGAUGUUGUAGGGACUAAGCUUAAGUUGGCCUUUGAGACUGGAAUCCAUCGCACCAUUGGAAUCGACUUGGUAACACAAUCACUAACCCGUCUUGUGUUUGUGACCUUUUGUUGGAGACACUCAUUGUUUUUGUUCCUCUUUUGUAGGUUGCUAUGAGUGUGAACGAUAUUGUUACCUCUGGUGCUAAGCCUCUCUUCUUCCUAGAUUACUUUGCUACUAGUCGUCUCCAUGUAGACCUUGCAGAGAAGGUAUGGUUGCUUCAUCUCUGACUUUUAGGACUUGAUAUUCAUGAAGAGUGUCUAUGCUACUGUUUCCAGGUUAUUAAAGGGGGCAAUCAGACUGUGCUCUCUUAGGAGGAGAAAUAUGUUUUUGCUUAUGGCAAUGUAGCUUAUGCAUGCUUCAUGCUUGGUCUUGGUUUGAUUGGUUUUUGUUUGGCUGUUUAAGACUGCGGAGAUGCCAGACUUUUACGCAGAGGGAGAGUAUGAUCUCAGUGGGUUUGCAGUUGGGACAGUGAAGAAAGAUUCUGUUAUAAAUGGGAAGAACAUAGUUGAUAUAUUGGUUGGCAUUUUGGUGGAGGAAAAUAGUAGUCAAGUGGUUUCUAUAACCGGGAUGGGCGGUCUUGGUAAAACCACUCUUGCAAGACAAGUUUUAUAAUCGUGAGAUAAUAAAAAGAAAAUUUUCAAGACUCGCGUGGAAGAAUGUCUGGAAGUCGAUCUUGCGACAACUCAGGCCAGAAUACAAGGUGACAGAAGAGGAACUUCAAGAAAAGGUCGUUGGAGUGUUGGAAACACAAAAAUAUUUGGUCGGUCAUUGAUAAUCUAUGGAGAGAAGGAGAUUGGACCGAAUCAAGAAUGUUUUUUUGCCCAAAUAAAGGAUAGAAGGUACUACUUGCUUCUCGCAAUGAGCAAGUGGCAUUACAUGCAGAUCCAAAAUGUGUUAUUUUCAAACCAGAUUGCCUAACUUUUGAAGAAAGUUGGAAUCUUUUCCAAAGGAUAUCAUUUCCUUUCAAAGACACAAUCGGUAAGUUUCAGGGAUCUAUUUGGAUUUUUUUAAAAGUAAAUCAAGUAAAACUGACUACAGUAUCGACAAGACAAUAUGAUCCUUUCGAAUAUGCUUGUAAUUGAUGUUGUGUAAAGUAUAAGGUUGAUGAUGAGAUGGAAGAGAUGUGUAAGCAGAUGAUCAAACAUUGUGGAGGUUAUACCGUUAGCUUUAAAAGUGUUAGGAGGGUUGUUAGUGUUGGGCCUAAUUAUUAAGCCUAAUGGCUCAAAUAAUAUAUGGCAAAAUGUGAAAACAAAUGGGUCUAUGGGUUCUUAUAAAAAGCCUUGUUGGCUUUAAUGAAAUGAAGUUAACAACAUCCCACAUUGGUUGGGAGAGUUGAUUUUGAGGAGUAUAUAUAUGUCUUCAUGACAUGAGAGGUUAAACAGAUCAGAGGAAGAGAGAGCUCCCCACGCGCGCGCCGCCGCCGUCCGGCUCGGGCUCGGGCUCGGGUCGGGUCUCGGGUCUCGGGUCUCGGGUCUCGGGUCUCGGGUCUUGGGUCUUGGCCCGAUAAGAAUAUUCUUUUUGGACCAAGUUAAGCUCAAAGUUUUGCCAUUUAAUUCCCAAAAAACGACAUGCAUUUUAUUUUAAACAACACGUAGUUCGUUUAAAAACAACACGCUGUCUCUCUUCUUGACGAUAAGUUUAAACGAGAAAAGUUCUUGCGGAGGAAGUUUCGUAACGCCUCGCCUCCGAGAUCCUCGCGAGAUUUCCGCCAACGUGCGCACGUGCGGCAUUAGUUACGGAAAAUGGCUCGUCUUCUCUUCUUUAAAAACUCGUCUCCUCCUUCAUUUUUCUUUAAGUUUUUACGCAACAAAAAUCACCAGAUCCCUCAACGUAAGUCUAGAGAGUGUUUCGUAGAGUUUAUAGUUCGAUAGGGCGAUCACGAGUGAGGCGUGAUUCGUCUGCCAUGGUUGUAUCCUGGGACUCUAUAUUCGUACAGUCCCGUCUCACUAACGGAGCGAAUAUUUUGAGUUAAGGAAAGAGAUCAUAUCUCGACUCCAUGUCUCUUUGCGAAUACGAUUUCUUAUCGUUCUUGUAUUCGUCUUUUACAUUCGUUUAUUUCCUUAACAUCGCUUUUAUUCUAUCGUUUAUGUCAGUCCGGUUUUCCGGCUUCUACAAUCUUAACUCAAAAUCGCUUUAUGUUUAAAGCUUUAAUCGGGUUGAUAAACGAUUAAUAGAAACGGGUUUUGGAACCGUGUUUGCGAUUUGCUUUCUAGCAUUUCCGCGAAACGUUUUGUUCUUAUCUCACAACGAUGUUUGCGAUUUGCUAUACGCUUAUCCGCGAAACGUUUCUGCCUAAAUGUGUUUGCGAUUUGCCUUAGAGCACUUCCGCGAAACGUUUCUGCUUUAUUUCAUUACGCUUUGCGGAUUGCUCUCUAGCAUUUUCGCAAAACGUUGAUACAUUCUUUAAACGUUAUAUACAUGAAUCGUUUCAGUAACCGUUUUCUUAAGCGAGUUUGUGAAACAUUCUAAGUCUAUAAAAAUGGUUUCUGCGAACGCUUUUAAGCGAGUUUGCAAAACGUUUUUUCCAGACUUAUAUCGAUAUGAUUUGGUUCAAAUACCAAAAAUGAACAUCGAUUUUAGACUAUUAUUUUCUUUAAAAUAAUAUGUUAUUUGUUGAAUGGAGUACUAAUCCGGUUUUUCAUGUUUUCUCUACAGAAAAAUGACAAACGAUAACAACACCCCCAUUGACACCACAGAUGUCAUUCAGACUCCACUCAACGCUGCAGCAACUGAUGCAACUGGCGUGACAACCGCUGCAGCAACAACGAGCACUAUCCUCCCUGCGGGAAAUGCUGCUGAUGAAACCACUCGCCGUAGCCUAUUCGGUGCUGGUCUUUAUCAGACGGGUUCAGUAUCAGCAACUGCAAGUGGUCCGGUGGCAGUUCAAACUCCUCCGGCUGUACCUAGCUUGUUCACUCAAGGACUGAUGCCAGACAAGUUUGAUGGCAAAGGCUUCAAAACGUGGC